UCGCGUGUCUUUGCUUCUCUUUUUCUUUGCACUUCGUUGCCGCCGAACCUCGAGACCUAACCUCGACCCUAACUCGGCUUAAAUCCCGCUGGGGAUUUAUUUUUACUUUAAGAUCUAUAUCUUUAAUCAUACUUUGCUACAAAUCGAGUCACUGCCCUCGAUUAAUAACGGGCUGACUGAUUACCGGCAUUUACACCGGUGGAGAUCUCCGCCGGUCAUCGGACGAAGACGGAACUGAAGACCAUCAUCACCGGGAAUUAGUCAGGCCAGUGUCCUUCCAUAUUACUUUCUAAGGUACGUUGUCGCGGCGUGGGUCAGCUCAGGAAAUAAAGGCUGAAAAUCAGGUGCCUAACGCGCCUGAUUCCGAACCUAC
RNAcentral lists this unclassified non-coding RNA (373 nucleotides) under Melitaea cinxia (Glanville fritillary). RNAcentral's name for it is "misc RNA ENSMCXG00005008824.1". The record is from RNAcentral. Lineage: Eukaryota; Metazoa; Arthropoda; Insecta; Lepidoptera; Nymphalidae.